Long non-coding RNA from Pocillopora verrucosa, 1943 nucleotides. RefSeq lists it as uncharacterized. The record is from RefSeq and is a predicted model, not a curated record. NCBI's taxonomy places the organism in Eukaryota, Metazoa, Cnidaria, Anthozoa, Scleractinia, Pocilloporidae.
GGGAAGGGAAGUAGGAAGUCCUUUUUUCUGUACACUCGCAUAUUGCGACAACUUUUGCACGAAAUAUAAAUGAAUAUGUACUGUACUCCGAGAAUAUGUCCUGUAGAAAAUUAAUUUUUCGAUAGGGAAAAUACCCUGACUGAAUUUUGAACGGUAUGUUACGCCAUAAUAUGUAUGCUUGAUUAUACAUAUACAGUCAACUCUUUUGUAAGCGGACACCCUCGGGAAUUGGAGAAAGUGUGCGUCAGUAGAAAAUUCCGUCUACGAGAAUAUUUUCCAAGAGCAGAAAUCAGAAAAAAAUAGUGGAGUGCGUUAAGCCGGAUUCUUGUUACUGUCAAACGAACGCACAACAUGCUUUCCCGCAGACAAAUGGAGAUUUGACAAAACUGAUCCACACUGUUCUGUUGCUUUGUCAGAGGUUAUACUUUUGUUGACUCACAAACUCAAGACACUGAUAUUGAUCCGACAAAUCUUACUGCCAAGAGUCAAUUAUAUAUACAUGGGGUUUCCGCUUUGGAGAGAGAUAAACGAAAAAAAAAAAAAAAAAGGACAGUUUCGCUUUUCAAAGUGUCCGCGUCCGCUUUCGGGAGAGUAUUCGCUUACGGGAAUGUGUAAAUACAGAGUUUAGCUGGGAGGCAAAAAAGGGGAAUUGAAGAAAGAGUCUGUUAGAGGAGAGUUGACAGUAAUUUAUAGCUCUGAUGAAAGGCAGAACGUCAAAUAAUAAAAGGAAGAAAAAAUUACACGUGUGGAUGUUAUAAAUGCCAAAUCUUCCAAAGCGCAGAGAGACUACAGCAUCUGUUACGAUUACUUACGUGACAUAGCAGAUACCGCUGGACAGGUCUCAGAAAUAAACAAUACCACCGUCUCGCCAUCGUGUCCUCUCUGGAGCGAAACUGAAAGAAUAAGGAAAGUCCGCUGCAAACCCUUGCACGCGCUCGGCUGUCGGUGACCUUCGAUCUUGGUGUCAAUUACCAUAUUAGAAUAUGAAGUUUUCUCGUUGGACGUUCCCUCUUUUUGUCACUGUCUUGAUCCCUGCAGCUUGUGCUCUUCAGUGCAAUGUAUGUCAUUUUGAUACUCAAUUAAAUCAGAACGCUUGCAACACCACCGUUAAGAAUUGUCCGAAAGACUCGACAUUCUGCAUGACUCAGUCAGACCGCAGACCAGAUGGAAGCAGGACAUUCACGAGGGACUGUGUACCCCCUAGGGUUUGCAGAAAGGACUAUUGCAAGGAAGAGAUCAUAAAUAGAAUAGGACGGACGGAUUGUAACAUCACCUGCUGUCAGGAAGAUUUUUGCAACACAACAGUUGGCAGCAAAGGACAUAUGACACGUACCAACUGUAUGUUAGAAUACUUUCUCAUUAUUGUAGGUAUCUGGUUUUCUCUUCUAGGAAGACAGUUGCAACUUUAAAAAGUUUAUUUUAGCUUUAGGCAGUUUCCUUCGAAUUCGCAGCCUUUGUUGGGAUCGUCAAGUAACACACUUUAUCCCUCUCUAAAAGCAAAUGUUGCCAAGGAGUUGGAAUUCGGUGAUGAAGAAAGAGUUAAGGAUUUACUUUUCUGUGCGUCACGCUUUACUAACUGUACCAGCCAUUCUUACUUUUCUGGAAAUCUUGACAACAGAGUCAAUUAUCUCGUCACCAACUCUUUUCAGCUUAUCACAAUUUGUGAUAAAUAAGCCCGAAUAAAUUCUUCAUAAACCUACUUAUUUGCAUAAGCCUAAAGGGCAAUUCGUAAUCUUUUAAAAAAAAAUAAACAGGUGCUCAUUCAUUCCGAAUGGCACCCGAAAAUCAUUGUCGUAUAAACUGAAUUGAACCUUGAACACUGCUAUUGUUGUCACGUAAGCUUGCCAUGCGGUCAUGUUGUAAUCGUAAGCGCGCGCAAGUCACAUGGCAAAGACUGCAUUCGGAACGCCAUUUGGAAAUAUAGUGGUGUUUGAUUAUUGAAA